GGACGAACGCUGGCGGUAUGCCUUAAGCAUGCAAGUCGAACGGUUUUGUCGCAAGACAAGACAGUGGCGGACGGGUGAGUAUAAAUAAGGAACGUACCCUGAAGUGGGGGAUAGCUCGCCGAAAGGCGGGGUAACCCUGCAUAUUAUCGUAAGAUCAAAGAGCGUAACUGCUCGCUUUAGGAGCGGCCUUAUUCCUAUCAGCUAGUCGGUGAGGUAAUAGCUCACCAAGGCUAUGACGGGUAGGGGGCGUGAGAGCGUGACCCCCCACAAUGGCACUGAGACACGGGCCAUACACCUACGGGUGGCAGCAACUGGGAAUAGUUGUCAAUGGGCGAAAGCCUGAACACGCGAUACCGCGUGAAGGAUGAAGUAUUUCGGUAUGUAAACUUCUUUUGCCAAGCAAUCGAAGCUUGGAGAAUAAGCACCUACUAACUACGUGCCAGCAGUCGCGGUAAUACGUAGGGUGCAAGCGUUGUCCGGAUUCACUGGGCGUAAAGUGUCGCGUAGGCGUUUUUACAAGUCUUCUUUUAAAUCGUGAGGCUCAACCUCACCAAGGGAGAAGAUACUGUAAAAAUUUGAAGGGGAAAGAGGUACCUGGAACUCGCAGUGAAGUAGUGAAAUGCGUUGAUAUUGCGAGGAACACCAAAGGCGAAGGCAAGGUACUGGUUCUCACUUGACGCUGAGGCACGAAAGCCAAGGGAGCGAAGCAGAUUAGAGACCUGCGUAGUCUUGGCCCUAAACGCAUGGAUGCUAGUUGCCUCGAUUUUAUCGAGGUGACGUAAGCUAACGCGUUAAGCAUCCCGCCUGGGGACUACGAUCGCAAGAUUAAAACUCAAAGGAAUUGACGGGGACCCGCACAACCAGUGGAGCAUGUGGUUCAAUUCGAGACGAAGCGAAAGACCUCACCAGGGUUUGACAUGUACCUGCAUACUUAAGAAAUUAAGUAGCCUUCGAGGGUGGUACAAAGCUGCUGCAUGGCUGUCGUCAGCUCGUGCCGUGGGGUGUUGGCUUAAGUGCCAGAACGAGCGCAACCCCCAUCUAAUGUUAGAUAUUCAUUAGAGACUGCCCUGCCGAUUCGGCGGGGAGGAAGGAGGGGACGACGUCAAGUCAGCACGGCGCUUAUGCCCUGGGCGACACACAUCCUACAAUGGCGAAGAACAACGAGAUGCAAGGUAGCGAUACCAAGCCAAUCUCUAAAAUUUCGCCUCAGUUCAGAUUGCAGUCUGCAACUCGACUGCAUGAAGCCGGAAUUGGUAGUAAUCGCGGA
RNAcentral lists this ribosomal RNA (1267 nucleotides) under uncultured bacterium. Its description in RNAcentral is "bacterial SSU rRNA". It matches the Rfam family "Bacterial small subunit ribosomal RNA", at positions 27 to 1348 of the family's 1533-position model. The record is from RNAcentral.